RNAcentral lists this transfer RNA (77 nucleotides) under Marmota monax (woodchuck). RNAcentral's name for it is "tRNA.Ala". The record is from RNAcentral. Lineage: Eukaryota; Metazoa; Chordata; Mammalia; Rodentia; Sciuridae.
GCUGGAGUUAUAGCUCAGUGGUAGAGCGCUUGCCUAGCACAUACAUGAGGGACUGGGUUUGAUCCUCAGCACCAGCA